Molecule: non-coding RNA, 1371 nt
Organism: Vicugna pacos (alpaca)
Lineage: Eukaryota; Metazoa; Chordata; Mammalia; Artiodactyla; Camelidae
Source: RefSeq, a predicted model, not a curated record
AUUGUUGUUGGUUUUGCUUUUCAAGCUCCACCACAGACUAAUGACCAACCAAGUAGGGACCUAGGUGGUUCUCUGUCCUUUUCUGGAGGAGGUCCUCGAGGCACAGGCGGUGAUAACCAGUAGGCUGUGCUUUGUCCAGGAGCUCCAGGGCCUGAGGACGGGCAAUGUAGGGCGGAGACUCAGGAGAAUCUGUGCAAAUUGCCGCUGUGAGAGCUGUGAGACGAAAUGAGGCUCAUAAAAUACCUCGAGUCUCGUCUCCUUUUCCUCUGGGAGAGCUGAUGAAAGAACAUGAGAGAAGAAACGGACUUUAACGCCCACCUCGCCCGCAUCCCCACCUAGCCCAGCUUUAGGGACACUAGAGGGACUCGUGGAGGCAAAGCUGGGUCCAAACGUGAGCUUCUGGGGAAACCGAAAAGGUUAACACGGUUCCAGUCCCUGAGAUUCCCACUUCCUGCAUCACUGCGCAUUCCACAAAUGAAACUGAAGGCCCAACAUAGAGACAUGCAAGCUGAAACUGCCCAAGUUAAUCUGGGUCUCUAGGCUUAAGGCUCAAGGUCUUGGGCCCCUACAGAGAAUGAGCAAGUGGACCUAGUAUGCUACUGCAGCCUCUCUACUGCUGACUUUGAGGAAGCAAGCUGCCAUUCUGGAGAGGCCCACAUGGCCACAAACUGAGGGUGACCUCCGGGCAAUAGCCAACAAGAAACUGAUGGCUUCAGUCCAGCAAUCUUUAAGGAACUGAAGCCUGCCAACAACUGGGGGAGCAAGCUCUUUCCCCAACUGAGCCUUCAGUUGAGAUCACUGGCAGCACCUGGAUGGCAGCUUUGUGAGACACCCUGAAGCAGAGGGUCAGAGUAGGCUUCUCUCAGAUUUCCGACCCACAGAAAUCAUGAAAUAAUGUGUGUUUUUUUGAACCACUAAAAAAAUUUGUGGUAAUCUUUUAUGCAGCAAAGACAACUAAUAUAUUGUGCCAGAAUUAAGUGUCAGAUCCUUAGUAAGAGAGAUACCCAUAUGUCCUUUCUGAAUCUGUCCUUUUUGUGUUAUGACAUGUGGGGUUUGCUAAAAUGUGGGGCUCAAGACAGAGUCCCUUCUUGCCUGGGUAUGAGAGCAAUACCAGGACCAGUUAAUUAGUCUUCAGUUUUUUUUUUUUUCUUGCAUGUUUCCUAAAAACAUUUUGGAAAACUAUGUGACUUCUUGUGUAUAUUUUACUUUAUAUCUAAUUCAUUUUUUUGAAAAUUAAAAUAACUACAAAGAGUGUAAAAAUUGUGAUAUCUUGUAAAUAGUGACAUUUUAAAGUAAGACUGUUUAUAUUACUCUUUUAAAUGUAUCCAAUAGAACCUAUAUGCCAUAGCUUUUUGAUAUUCAACAUCAUCU